AAAUAUGAUGAUUUGUAUGUCGUUGCUGCUCUUACAUGCAUCACUGAUGCUAGAUGGUGAUUGACUACAUUCUCGUCUGAUUC
This is a small nucleolar RNA of Papaver somniferum (opium poppy), 83 nucleotides long. RefSeq annotates it as small nucleolar RNA U31b. The transcript has a single exon. The record is from RefSeq and is a predicted model, not a curated record. NCBI's taxonomy places the organism in Eukaryota, Viridiplantae, Streptophyta, Magnoliopsida, Ranunculales, Papaveraceae.